AUGGGGGGAGGGGAGUGCCAAGAACAAGGAGCAAAAGCAAGCCAUCGGCAGCAAGAGCCGGCCACAGAGAGAAGAAGCCUGCAGAACAUUCCCAGCAGAGGGACCAGCAGCUACAAAAGCCCAGGAGAAAAACAGAAAUGGAACGCUGAGGAACAUGAAGGAGGUGAAUCUGACUACGGUUUCGAGACUCAAGAGAAGAGCGGCAUGAUGAUGGGGAGACCAGAAGAUAUUCCAGAGGAUGUUGUGAAGCUCUGGCAUGUGGGGCUUGAUGCUUCCUGUUCAUACCUAGCUGUCCCUCCCCCCACCUCUUCACCCGAGUACACACGGGGCCCUUCUGUGACCUACCUGCCGACAGUAACUGCAGCCCUGGCGUGGACCAGCAGCGGGGUCCAGAAAGCCACGGUCACCCAGCACAGCGGUUUCCCACACACGCUCUCGAGGUUGCGGGCGGACGGCUGCCGGGGGCCCAUCGUCAGCUGCACGCCUAAUGCUCAGCAGCACAUUGUUACCAUGAAGCCAUGGGACAUGGAAAAGAUUCAUAUUCAUAUUGUCCUCGGUGCACAGGCAGAUUCAGGAAGUCUACCACUGCUGGCCGUCUGAUACACAAAUGCGGCGGGAAGAAGAGAACUAUGGAAAAACUUGAGGAGGCAGCUGUUGAGGUGGGAAAGGGCUCCCUCAAGUAUGCCUGGGUCUUGGAUAAACUGAGAAUUGAAUGUGAUCAUGUUACCACCACUGAUAGCGCCCUGCGGAAACUCAAGACCAGCAAGUAUGAGGUGACCUCCACGGAUACCAGAGGACACAGAGACUGUAUCAAAAACAUGAUUACAGGCACAACUCGGGCAGACUCUGCUGUCCUGAUUGUUGCUGCUGGUGUUAAGGAAUUUGAAGCAGGUACCUCCAGGAAUGGGCAGACCCAUGAUCAUGCUCUUCUGAUCUCACACGGGGUGUGAAAGAACUGUUGGUAUUAAGAAAACGGAUUCCAUUGAGCCACCCUGGAGCCGGAAGAGACACACAAAAAAAUCAUUAAGCAAGUCUGCACCUACAUAAUAAAAUUGGCCACAACCGCCACACAGUAGACUUGGUGCCAGUUUCUGGUUGGAAUGGUGACAGCAUGCUGGAGCCAACUGCUAACAUGCCUUGGUUCAAGGGAUGAAAAUUCUCUGGUGAAGAUGGCAAUGUUAGUGCAACCAUAUCGCUGGAAGCUCUAGACUGCUCUUGCCACCAGCUCAUCCAACUGACCAGCUCUUAGGUCUAUCUCUCCAAGACAUGUACAGAAUGGAUGGUAUUGGCACCAGGGCCAUGUGGAGAGUGGGGUUUUCAAACCCUGCAGGAUGGCCACCUCUUCUCCAGUUGACAUUGCAACUGAUGUAAACUCUGAUGAAAUGCACCAUGAAGCUUUGAGUGAAGCUCUUCCUGGGGACAAAGAGGGCUUCAUUGUCAAGAAUGUGUCUCUCAAAUAUGUUUGUUGUGGUAUUGUGCCUGGUGAUAGCAAAAGUGACUCAGCAAUGGAAACAGGUGACUUCAUGGCUCAGGUAAUUCUCCUGAAUAAUCCAGGCCAAAUCAAUGCCAGAUAUGCACCUGUGCUGGAUUAUCGGCCAGCUCACACUGCUUGCAAAUUUGCUGAAGUUCCACCAUCAUGCUGGGGGAAAGGCUGAAAGAUGACCCAAAUCCUUGAAAUCUAAUGAAGCUCCAUUGUUGAUAUGGUUUCUGACAAGCUCCUGUGUGUUGAGAGCUUCCCUGAC
Molecule: RNA transcript, 1742 nt
Organism: Enhydra lutris kenyoni (northern sea otter)
Lineage: Eukaryota; Metazoa; Chordata; Mammalia; Carnivora; Mustelidae
Gene name: elongation factor 1-alpha 1-like
Exons: 5
Source: RefSeq, a predicted model, not a curated record